UACGGAGGGUGCGAGAGUUAUCCGGAAUUACUGGGUUUAAAGGGGGCGUAGGCGGAUUCAUAAGUCUGGGGUGAAAGCCUAUCGCUUAACGCGAGGAUUGCCUUAGAUACUGUAAAGCUUGAACGGGGUAGAGGCCAGCAGAAUGGGGGAUGUAGCGGUGAAAUGCAUAGAUAUGCGAUAGAACACCAAUUGCGAAGGCAGGUGGUUGGACCUACUAUGACGAUGAGGCACGAAAGCGUGGGGAGCGAACAGG
Molecule: ribosomal RNA, 253 nt
Filed under: uncultured bacterium
Lineage: Bacteria
Description: partial 16S ribosomal RNA
Rfam family: Bacterial small subunit ribosomal RNA
Source: RNAcentral